CCUACGGGCGGCAGCAGUGAGGAAUAUUGGUCAAUGGGCGCGAGCCUGAACCAGCCAAGUAGCGUGAAGGAUGACUGCCCUACGGGUUGUAAACUUCUUUUAUAAAGGAAUAAAGUGAGGCACGUGUGCCUUUUUGUAUGUACUUUAUGAAUAAGGAUCGGCUAACUCCGUGCCAUCAGCCGCGGUAAUACGGAGGAUCCGAGCGUUAUCCGGAUUUAUUGGGUUUAAAGGUAGCGUAGAUGGGUUGUUAAGUCAGUUGUGAAAGUUUGCGGCUCAACCGUAAAAUUGCAAUUGAUACUGGCAGUCUUGAGUACAGUUGAGGGAGGCGGAAUUCGUGGUGUAGCGGUGAAAUGCGGAGAUAUCACGAAGAACUCCGAUUGCGAAGGCAGCUUACUAAACUGCCACUGACAUUGAUGCUCGAAAGUGUGGGUAUCAAACAGGAUUAGAUACCCCAGUAGUC
This 460-nucleotide ribosomal RNA is filed under the name uncultured bacterium. RNAcentral's name for it is "partial 16S ribosomal RNA". It matches the Rfam family "Bacterial small subunit ribosomal RNA", at positions 338 to 795 of the family's 1533-position model. The record is from RNAcentral.